UACGUAGGGAGUGAGCGUUAUCCGGAUUUAUUGGGUGUAAAGGGUGCGUAGACGGGUUUGCAAGUUGGUUGUGAAAUCCCUCGGCUUAACUGAGGAACUACAACCAAAACUGUAGGUCUUGAGUGCAGGAGAGGUAAGUGGAAUUCCUAGUGUAGCGGUGAAAUGCGUAGAUAUUAGGAGGAACACCAGUGGCGAAGGCGACUUACUGGACUGUAACUGACGUUGAAGCACGAAAGUGUGGGGAGCAAAC
This 250-nucleotide ribosomal RNA is filed under the name uncultured prokaryote. RNAcentral describes it as "partial 16S ribosomal RNA". It matches the Rfam family "Bacterial small subunit ribosomal RNA", at positions 524 to 773 of the family's 1533-position model. The record is from RNAcentral.